GACGAACGCUGGCGGUGUGCUUCACACAUGCAAGUCGAACGGUAGCAAUACAGUGGCGGACGGGUGAGUAACACGUGGGAAUCUGCCUUUAGAUGGGGGAUAACUAGCCGAAAGGCUAGCUAAUACCGCAUAUGCCGAGAGGUGAAAGGAGCAAUCCGUCUGAAGAUGAGCCCGCGUCCGAUUAGCUAGUUGGUAAGGUAAAGGCUUACCAAGGCUGUGAUCGGUAGCUGGUCUGAGAGGAUGAUCAGCCACAAUGGGACUGAGACACGGCCCAUACUCCUACGGGAGGCAGCAGUGGGGAAUUUUACGCAAUGGGCGAAAGCCUGACGUAGCGACACCGCGUGAACGAAGAAGCCUUUUGGGGUGUAAAGUUCUGUCGGCAGGGACGAAAAAAAUGACGGUACCUGCAAAGGAAGCAUCGGCUAACUACGUGCCAGCCGCCGCGGUAA
RNAcentral lists this ribosomal RNA (449 nucleotides) under uncultured bacterium. Its description in RNAcentral is "partial 16S ribosomal RNA". It matches the Rfam family "Bacterial small subunit ribosomal RNA", at positions 28 to 523 of the family's 1533-position model. The record is from RNAcentral.